This 845-nucleotide ribosomal RNA is filed under the name uncultured bacterium. RNAcentral's name for it is "bacterial SSU rRNA". It matches the Rfam family "Bacterial small subunit ribosomal RNA", at positions 52 to 910 of the family's 1533-position model. The record is from RNAcentral.
CACAUGCAAGUCGAACGGCAGCACGGAGAGCUUGCUCUCUGGUGGCGAGUGGCGAACGGGUGAGUAAUAUAUCGGAACGUGUCCAAUAAUGGGGGAUAACGAGUCGAAAGAUUCGCUAAUACCGCAUACGCCCUACGGGGGAAAGCAGGGGAUCGUAAGACCUUGCGUUAAUGGAGCGGCCGAUAUCUGAUUAGCUUGUUGGUGAGGUAAAGGCUCACCAAGGCGACGAUCAGUAGCUGGUUUGAGAGAACGACCAGCCACACUGGAACUGAGACACGGCCCAGACUCCUACGGGAGGCAGCAGUGGGGAAUCUUGCGCAAUGGGCGAAAGCCUGACGCAGCAACGCCGCGUGCGGGAAGAAGGCUUUCGGGCUGUAAACCGCUUUCAGUAGGAACGAAACUGACGGUACCUACAGAAGAAGGAGCGGCCAACUAUGUGCCAGCAGCCGCGGUGACACAUAGGCUCCAAGCGUUGUCCGGAUUUAUUGGGCGUAAAGAGCUCGUAGGCGGUUGAGUAAGUCGGGUGUGAAAACUUUGGGCUUAACCCAAAGAUGCCACUCGAUACUGUUCAACUUGAGUUUGGUAGGGGAGUGGGGAAUUCCUUGUGUAGCGGUGAAAUGCGCAGAUAUAAGGAGGAACACCGGUGGCGAAGGCGCCACUCUGGGCCAAUACUGACGCUGAGGAGCGAAAGCGUGGGGAGCAAACAGGAUUAGAUACCCUGGUAGUCCACGCGGUAAACGGUGGUCACUAGGUGUGGGUCUCUUCAAACGAGAUCUGCGCCGUCGCUAACGCAUUAAGUGACCCGCCUGGGGGAGUACGGUCGCAAGACUAAAACUCAAAUGAAU